Molecule: non-coding RNA, 1909 nt
Organism: Kogia breviceps (pygmy sperm whale)
Lineage: Eukaryota; Metazoa; Chordata; Mammalia; Artiodactyla; Physeteridae
Source: RefSeq, a predicted model, not a curated record
UGCAAGUGAGGGUGAUGGUGGCACGGACAAGGGAAGUGGAAAUGGAGAUGGAGGUGAAUGGAAGGAUUUAGGGUACAUGUUAGAAGUGGCACUGGCGGGACCUGCUGACAGGGUGUAAAGGAAAAGGAGAAAUCAAGGAAGCCAGCGGAUGCAAAGACUGGGGGGCAAACAGGUGUUUUAGCUGGAAAUGACAAGUUCAGUUUUAAAUACAGUAAGUUGACAUUGCUUGUGAGACAUAUAUUCCUUUAAACAUUCUCUGAUUUAGUCUAGGUUUGCCCCUAUUUGUCUGAAUUAAAUGAGCUUCCUGGGUCAUGCUCUAGAAACUCCACUCAAGUUCCUGCCUGAGAUUCUGGACAAGAGUUGGUCGUUCCUUAAUGGCAACAGUGAUAUCAUAGACUUGAGAAGAUGUCCUAAUUUCCCAUUUAGAGAGGCCCCUCCUGGUCUCUGGUUGUGCUCAGCUUUUCUUUCCCUUUAGAGACCUCCCCGGGGCAUCUGCAUUGCAGAUGGGCGAGGCAGUGGGGCAGGUAGACCAAGGACACCCAGAAGGCAGAGAGACAACUGGGUCAUAGACCUCAACAUGCGACCCUCAGUUACCCUGGAUUGGGCGGUUAGUGUUUGGGCUUCUUUCUAUUUAGGUUGCGGAUAAACAGUGAAUAAUCAAAGAAAAAGAGAGCAUAUGAGAUGAGAUGUUUAGUUUGCAGAAAGUUGAGGUAGGAGAGAAAGCCAGCAGCCUGUCAGGAAAGAGGGGAGGGAGUCAGGAUUGCCUGUGCAACCGAUGGAAAGAACCCAGCAGAGGGUCUUGAAGAACCAAACAGAUGAGCUCAUUUCCUCAAGGACCAGGAAUCUGGAGAAAGGAUGCAUUCUAACUUGAGUGUGGAGGAUACAGAUUAUAACUAUGAAGAGAUGUGCGCUUCCCAGAUAAGCAGGUAGCAGAAGAUCUGGGCUGAGGGUAGAGGGUAGAUUUCAAGGACUAAGCAAUGCAGUCUAGCUUUGUUUUCAGUUUUUUUGUUUUGUUUUGUUUUGACUUUUUCUGUUCUUGUUUUUUAGUGCAAACUAAAGCAAUCUCUAGAGGCAAAUGACCUGAAUGCUUAAGACCAUAUGUAUGGUUUUUUCACAAGGAUCUUUAUAUCACUGAUAUUCCUCUGUCACCACAUGGCUGGAAGUUAGUGUCAGCUCACUAAUUUCAAUUCAUGAAAUGGCAAAGACCAUGGGCACUGGAGUCAGAGAGCUUGGGUUUGAAUCCUAACCCUGCCAUCUACUAUGACAUUGGACAUGUUACUUAGACCCUCUGUAUCUCAACUACUUCAUCUUUAAAAUGGGGUCAACGGACUUCCCUGGCGGGCCAGUGGUUAAGACUCCAUGCUUCCAAUGCAGGGGAGACGGGUUCAAUCCCUGAUCCCACCUGCCUCGUGCCCUACUCCCCACCACCCAAAUGGGAACCAUGAUAGUCCCUACCCAACAGGGCUGUGGUGAGGAUAAAAGGAGUGAAUGCAUGUUAAGCCCUUGAAGUAGUUCCUGGCACAUACUAAGCCCACUAAAAUACCAUUUCUUAUAGGAAAAGAACAGAGGAGAAAACGGGACAACAAGUUGUAGCUCCUUAGUCCCCCAAGUUUUCUGUGAGAUCGAAGAAGAGGCCAGAGUAAACAUAGGUGAUUUACCACGUCAUCUUGGCAUGCGGGCAUGAGUACCCGGGGACCCACUGGAUCCUACAUUAGAAGAAGAGGAGGCUUGUGGGAUCUUAGUUCCCUGACCAGGGAUCGAACCCAUGCCCCCUGCAUUGGAAGGGCGGAGUCUUAACCACUGGACCACCAGGGAAGUACCUGAGAUACGGUACCUGGAACAGCAGUGGCCACCGUGCAGCCCUGGGGAAUCCCAGCUGGAGCAAUGCCAGUGCCCCGAGGAUGACCGA